RNAcentral lists this ribosomal RNA (448 nucleotides) under uncultured bacterium. RNAcentral describes it as "partial 16S ribosomal RNA". It matches the Rfam family "Bacterial small subunit ribosomal RNA", at positions 330 to 793 of the family's 1533-position model. The record is from RNAcentral.
GCCAGACUCCUACGGGAGGCAGCAGUGGGGAAUAUUGGGCAAUGGAGGCAACUCUUACCCAGCAAUGCCGCGUGAAUGAAGAAGGUCUUCGGAUUGUAAAGUUCUUUAAUUGGGGACGAAAAAAAUGACGGUACCCAAGGAAUAAGCCCCGGCUAACUACGUGCCAGCAGCCGCGGUAAUACGUAGGGGGCAAGCGUUGUUCGGAAUUACUGGGUGUAAAGGGAGCGUAGGCGGGAGAGCAAGUCGACUGUGAAAUCUAUGGGCUUAACCCAUAGCUGCGAUCGAAACUGUUCAUCUUGAGUGAAGUAGAGGCAGGCGGAAUUCCUAGUGUAGCGGUGAAAUGCGUAAAUAUUAGGAGGAACACCAGUGGCGAAGGCGGCCUGCUGGGCUUUAACUGACGCUGAGGCUCGAAAGCGUGGGUAGCAAACAGGAUUAGAUACCCUUGUAC